GACGUCAGGAAAAGUGGAGUCAGUCCAGGGAUGGACGGCAAGGUGGCCAGUCUCACUGAUUUCUUGGAGCAAAACUCUUCAAUGUGGCAGGACCAGCAAUUUAAAUAUAGUUUCAUGUUGGUGGUGUACCUUGAUGAUUGGUUAUGCCCAGUGAAAGUCAACGUCCAUUGGUUAUGUCCAGUGAGGUAAUAUAAUUGCAACUGGGCAUGUUCUUUGCACAUUCUUAUGGAGCUGUACUCCCUAUCAUAUGUAACCAGUCAUUGCUAAGAAUGCCUAUGGCUAGUGCCCCUUAUAGCUCUUUAUCAAUUGCAAGCAGACAUUUCUAAGCAGUUUAAUGGCUGCUCUUCCUAAUGGCCAACAACUUAGUUAGUCCCAGCAUGUCCCAGCAUGUCUAUGGCAGAUUCACCUUACAAGGAAGAACCCAACACUCUGAUAGACUGAGCCUUUACCAGGACAUAUAGCUCAUAAGUAGAUGUGUCAGGAUUGAAACCUGGGCCUGCGAGUCUGAACUUCUUCCAGUUGUAGUGUUUUCUGUGUGGAAAGUAAAACUGAACUGGGGGAUUGUUUAAACACUACAUAUAAUGAAGAAGUUGACUGAAUUUUAAUGUCUCAGCUCUGGGUGCUCAGUCAGACAGGAGAAAAGAACAUUCUAG
RNAcentral lists this long non-coding RNA (653 nucleotides) under Marmota monax (woodchuck). Lineage: Eukaryota; Metazoa; Chordata; Mammalia; Rodentia; Sciuridae. The record is from RNAcentral.